RNAcentral lists this long non-coding RNA (448 nucleotides) under Androctonus crassicauda. The record is from RNAcentral. Lineage: Eukaryota; Metazoa; Arthropoda; Arachnida; Scorpiones; Buthidae.
CUGGGACAAUGGAGUAGAGCAGGAGAGGUAGGAAUGGCCACAGGGCGGCAAAGAGCCUGACUCCUUAGUGAUUCUGGAAUAAUUUGGAGACACUGGGAGUGUUGGAGGAAUUAGACAGUUUCUCACUUGGUAAAGGUACUCUAUGAGGUUACAGUACCGAGAACUGAGUUGUGAGAGGUGAGGAGUGUUACUAAGGGCAUUCAGGUUGGGGCACCUGCUGUUCAAGGAGAAACUUCGGGGCCUGGAAUCACAGCCAGUGAUCUACAUGAACAGGGACAGCUACACAUUCAGUCGAGACUUGCUUGAAUAUUAAGGCUCCCGAGAACACCCAUUGAGCAGUGGCCAUGAGGUCAUCAGAGAAUUGAAGCCCUGUGGGCCACACUCAGGACCCCAGUCCCCAGUAUUCUGUGAGCACUGAAGUACCCUACCCUGAUGGCCAUGAUAUGAG